CCGAGUUAGGGUUGUCCAAAACGGCCCGACCUCCCAACCCUGUGUCUACCAUACCUUGUCGUUGCUUCGGCGGACCGGUUGACCAGCCGGUCUUGACCGCCGGGGGACACCUGUCCUGGAGAGCGUCCGCCGAUGGCCCAACCACAAAAACUCUUGUAUCGAAAAUUGUCGACUGAAUUAUGUGAUUAAAAUCCAAA
Molecule: unclassified non-coding RNA, 197 nt
Filed under: uncultured Chaetothyriales
Lineage: Eukaryota; Fungi; Ascomycota; Eurotiomycetes; Chaetothyriales
Description: sequence contains ITS1
Source: RNAcentral